GUUGUUGUGGCCGAGAGGUUAAGCCGAUGGACUUGAAAUCCUUUGGGGUCUCCCCGCGCAGGUUCGAGUCCUGCCAGCAACG
Molecule: transfer RNA, 82 nt
Organism: Gasterosteus aculeatus (three-spined stickleback)
Lineage: Eukaryota; Metazoa; Chordata; Actinopteri; Perciformes; Gasterosteidae
Rfam family: tRNA
About the family: Transfer RNA (tRNA) molecules are approximately 80 nucleotides in length. Their secondary structure includes four short double-helical elements and three loops (D, anti-codon, and T loops). Further hydrogen bonds mediate the characteristic L-shaped molecular structure. tRNAs have two regions of fundamental functional importance: the anti-codon, which is responsible for specific mRNA codon recognition, and the 3' end, to which the tRNAs corresponding amino acid is attached (by aminoacyl-tRNA synthetases). tRNAs cope with the degeneracy of the genetic code in two manners: having more than one tRNA (with a specific anti-codon) for a particular amino acid; and 'wobble' base-pairing, i.e. permitting non-standard base-pairing at the 3rd anti-codon position.
Source: Rfam